Molecule: long non-coding RNA, 318 nt
Organism: Ostrinia furnacalis (Asian corn borer)
Lineage: Eukaryota; Metazoa; Arthropoda; Insecta; Lepidoptera; Crambidae
Exons: 2
Source: RefSeq, a predicted model, not a curated record
GUGGGAGGAAGCCGAACAGCUGGUGGUAGAAGCGCAGGCGCGCGCGCCGCAGCAGCCCGACUUGUUGUUGGCCCAGGCCGUAGCCGCCGCGCACGCCGGCAAGCCUGCUGAGGUCUCCAGCCGCUACCUAGCACAGCUCCUCGACAGCCACCCAGAACACCCAUUCACAAAGGAAUACAACGCCAAGAGCAACGAGUUCAAGCGGCUCGCCGCCCAGUAUCAGCCCUCUGUAGCAAGUUGAACCUUGACGCAAGGCAAGAGAGUUUAUUAUACUGUAUCACUUAUAUCAUGAGUUAAAGAUUUAUGUAUUAUGGUAAA